CAAACUCUCGAAAUUGGUUUUGAACUAAAAACAUCAGUUCAUAAUCAACAGGCCCAUGCAUUUAGAUAAAAAAAAAAACUACAAAUUCUAGAUCUAGACUAUAAAAUAAGCUAUCUCCGAUUAUUUUUACAAACUUUUUAAUUUUUCUGUGUUUUAAACUUCAAGUUUUUUUUUUUAAUUUUAUACAUAUGUAUAAUGUUAAUACUUAAAUAAUUUAAGCUACGUAGAAACCCUUCACCAUUUUCGAAAAAUAUAUGGGUGUGAAUUAUCCCUCGAAGCCAGAUUUAAAAUAAAUUUAAAAAUAUGGACGAUGAAAUGAACACUUCAUUCCUAAAAAAUCAUGGAGUUGCAUUUUUAACAUUAUUCAUUUGCCUUUUGAAUAUUAAAAAAAUAAUUUCAAUAGUACAAUAUUGUCAAAAUACUAAUCUAUGGUUGAGAGGAUGGAUUAAGGGAUCUGAGAUUAGGUACCCAAUCGAUGUUUCGUUUAAUGAUUUAAGAAUAGAAAUCCAGCAGCUAUCGAAGCAAAUGGUUGAAUUUCAAAAACGAUCAAAAUUAAAUUUUUCAACAAUGGAAAAUAGUGCAAGUGGUUUUUGUCACAAUUGCCGUCAAAAGGAAUCCGUAUCUCACUACAAUAUAACGUCACAUAUAAUUCCUCAAAAUGAAGCCGAUAAAGAAAUAAGUGAAUGCAACUGGAAAUGUUAUUUAAAUAAAUACGUUUUCGAUCCGGAUCCAAAGAUUGUAGAUACCAGUGAACUAGAAAAUAUGAAACGAUGUUAUUCAAAUUGGUUUUGAGUCAUUAUAAUUGAAUCCAGAAGCAAAAUUGUAACGUACUGUACCCGUAGUAAAAAAAAUUUUAAAACCGUUAUUUUGAUAAAUAAAUUUUAUUAUAUUUUCUAAAUAAAAGUCAUGGCAAAUUUUUUAUAAGAUUU
Long non-coding RNA from Episyrphus balteatus (marmalade hoverfly), 929 nucleotides. RefSeq lists it as uncharacterized. The transcript has 2 exons. The record is from RefSeq and is a predicted model, not a curated record. NCBI's taxonomy places the organism in Eukaryota, Metazoa, Arthropoda, Insecta, Diptera, Syrphidae.